This 520-nucleotide ribosomal RNA is filed under the name uncultured archaeon. RNAcentral describes it as "bacterial SSU rRNA". It matches the Rfam family "Archaeal small subunit ribosomal RNA", at positions 912 to 1429 of the family's 1478-position model. The record is from RNAcentral.
UCAACGCCGGACAACUCACCGGGGGCGACAGCAAUAUGUAGGUCAAGCUAAAGACUUUACCUGAAUCGCUGAGAGGAGGUGCAUGGCCGUCGUCAGUUCGUACUGUGAAGCAUCCUGUUAAGUCAGGCAACGAGCGAGACCCGUGCCCACUGUUGCCAGCAUAUCCUUUUUGGAUGAUGGGUACUCUGUGGGGACCGCCGAUGCUAAAUCGGAGGAAGGUGCGGGCUACGGUAGGUCAGUAUGCCCCGAAUCUCCCGGGCUACACGCGGGCUACAAUGGUUGGGACAAUGGGCUCCUACACUGAAAAGUGACGGUAAUCUCAUAAACCCAGCCGUAGUUCGAAUUGAGGGCUGAAACCCGCCCUCAUGAAGCUGGAAUCCGUAGUAAUCGCGUUUCAAUAUAGCGCGGUGAAUACGUCCCUGCUCCUUGCACACACCGCCCGUCAAACCACCCGAGUGAGGUAUGGGUGAGGGCGCGGACUUUAGUGCUGCGUUCGAACCUAAAUUUCGCAAGGGGGGUU